This 287-nucleotide long non-coding RNA is filed under the name Spirodela polyrhiza (greater duckweed). Its description in RNAcentral is "long non-coding RNA (SPOL_LNC001456)". The record is from RNAcentral. Lineage: Eukaryota; Viridiplantae; Streptophyta; Magnoliopsida; Alismatales; Araceae.
ACGAGUCCAAAACAAGCAGGCCAGUAUCUCCAUGGCAGAGGAGACUUACCAAUAUGGCCUUUAUCAGCUGUUUAGAUAUCAUUUUUAUACUGAAUAAACAGAGUUAAAUUCUGUAGCAUUAAAAGUGAGCAGAUAUACUGAUAAAAAACAGAGCAGGCGAGAGACCGCAAAUCGUGAGUGGGUAACAGGCUAUUCCUAUUACCAAUUUAUGGCUUACCAAUGGAUAACUGUGUCUCAUAGUGACACAUGCGGCUUGGUUUGCCACAAAAUUCUCCACGAAAUUGAAU